UAAUACGUAGGGGGCAAGCGUUGUCCGGAUUUACUGGGCGUAAAGCGCGCGUAGGCGGAAGGGCAAGCGUGGCCUGAAAGCCCCCGGCUCAACCGGGGAGGGUGGCUGCGAACUGUGCUUCUUGAGGGCGACAGAGGAGUGUGGAAUUCCGGGAGUAGCGGUGAAAUGCGUAGAGAUCCGGAGGAACACCCGUGGCGAAGGCGGCACUCUGGGUCGCCCCUGACGCUGAGGCGCGAAAGCGUGGGGAGCGAACGGGAUUAGAUACCCCGGUAGUCCACGCUGUAAACGAUGGUCACCAGGUGUGUGCGGUAUCGACCCCGCACGUGCCGGCGCUAACGCAUUCAGUGACCCGCCUGGGGAGUACGGCCGCAAGGUUG
This 377-nucleotide ribosomal RNA is filed under the name uncultured bacterium. RNAcentral describes it as "bacterial SSU rRNA". It matches the Rfam family "Bacterial small subunit ribosomal RNA", at positions 521 to 896 of the family's 1533-position model. The record is from RNAcentral.